RNAcentral lists this long non-coding RNA (9418 nucleotides) under Marmota monax (woodchuck). The record is from RNAcentral. Lineage: Eukaryota; Metazoa; Chordata; Mammalia; Rodentia; Sciuridae.
ACUCAGAAUGUGCAGUAUGACUUCAACAGGUAGGUCAGGCCUCAUGGAUGCAAGUACUCUUGGCAUCUAAUGAUUGUUUAUGCCCAGUUCCAGCCUCAGCAAUGUUUUUAUUCCUUCAUCUGUCUUGGAUUGUAAGCCCCUUCAUCACCCUUUGAACCACCUAGAUCCUUAGAUGUUAGAGUGCAAAAUACUUAGAAAACAUACUUUAGCCAUGUUAUUAUCCAACGAGAACUAAAAUAGGCACAAAAACUGUUUGUAAGACUAAAAUCCUUAUCCUCAGAACUCACAAGAAAAUUCCUUCCCAAAAAUGUUAGUAAAACCCAGAGAUCUGGAUCCUAUAAGGAAAAGGUAGCAGAUGAGUAUAAGGCAGGCUAGCCCUGGCCUUGCCUCCUGAAUAAAUUAUGUCCAUAUUCCUGGAAAAUCAGAGAAAGACUAUGAAUUACAGUGGAUGGGGUAGAGAGAGAAGAUGGGAGGGGAGGGAGGGGGGAUGGUAGAGGAUAGGAAAGGUAGCAGAAUACAACAGUUACUAAUAGGGCAUUAUGUAAAAAUGUGGAUGUGUAACCGAUGUGAUUCUGCAAUCUGUAUUUGGGGUAAAAUUGGGAGUUCAUAACCAACUUGAAUCUAAUGUAUGAAAUAUGAUAUGUCAAGAGCUUUAUAAUGUUUUGAACAACCAAUAAAAAAAAUUAAAAAAAAAAAGAAAUUUGCAUAUUCCCAGUAUCUAGGGACAAAAAAAAAAAAAAAAAAUGCCAGGAACCAUAAAGCCCCUCCCAUGUCAACCCUUGACAUUGUAGCCAUUAGAAUUUAACUACUGCUUCCACUUCCUUGUUUUCAAUUUGGCAGAUGCUUUGUCUUGUUUGAACCCAGAGUAUACAAAAUAUAAACUACUGCUUCUGCACAGGAAUACCUAAAACCCUGUAGCAUAUUUAACAAAAAUAAUUUCAUUUCCUCCUCCAAUGGCUGUGAUGCUCAAAUUAGGAGUUUUCAUGGGUCAGUGCUAUGAGGACCAGCUCCAUAAGGGCAAGGACAAUUGUUUUGCGCUCUCCCUAACAUCUGCCAUAAUUUCUCUGUGUAUAGUUGGCAUGGGUGACGAUGUGACAAGCAAAGAAAUCUACCUAUCAUUGUGAUUAUGAUCUAGGUAUUUCUGUGAAGAUGUUGACUUUAACCUGAGAACAAACAGUAGUGGCCUGCUCAUCUGUCGCUUUAAUAACUUCAGCCUCAUGAAGAAACAUGUUCAGGUUGGCGGGCAAAGGGACUUUAUCAUUAAACCAAAGAUCAUGGUAAGAUUUGCAAGCUUGAUUCUGUUGAAAAUAAACAUAAUUCUUUCUGAUAUAUUUGUUAUUAGAUACUGGCAUUAAGCACUUUCCACGUUAGUAGAAAGUAAAGUAAACCAAGGGAGUUCUUUCUUUUUAAAGUUUUUUUUAGGUUUUUUAGUUCUGAGUGGACACAAUAUCUUUAUUUAUUUUUAUGUGGUGCUGAGGAUUGAACUCAGUGCCUCACACAUGCCAGGCAAGUGCUCUACCACUGUUAGCUAUGACCCCAGCCCCCAAGGGAGUUCUUGAUGUUAUCUAGGGAUUCACCUAGAGCCAAAACAAAAGUUUUAACAAUAUAAUUAUUUUUCUUUAGAUUUAAGAAAGUUUUCAUCAAAGUUUUAGUUUCAAAAUGGCAAACUUUACAUUUUGGUAUUCCUAGGUAAUUAACAUGAGAGAGAAAUUUAAAUCAAGAUGCAAGUCUGAUCCUUUCCCAGAUUUAUUUUUACAUAGUAAUACAGAUCAAAAUAAGAGUGAAUUUAACGUAAAGAGUGAAUUCCAUGAGCCUACUUUUUUCUAAGAGAUUUACUAAUACCUGAUCACUUACAGCAUGUGAACUGUCCAGUGGAUCUUAGAAACCUCUUGGCCUUUUUUGUGGGGCGGAGGGGGCAGUGGGAUAGGAUUCAAACCACAUGCAUCUAGCAGCAUUAGAAAUGGCUUCCUAUUGAACUGUACUAUGUACUUGUUAAAUGUAGUACAUUUCAAAAAAGCUUACUUACAACAAGCUUGCUCUUACUGUGUAUAACUUAUUUUAAAUACUAUUAUACUAUUUCCAAAAGAGGGAAAAAUUCAGGACCAAAAAUGACUGUCAUAAUAUUUGAAUUUAGCAUGUCACUGUGCUAUUGAUAAUGCAGUCAUGCCCCAUUAUCUGCAAUUUUAGUUACCCACGGUCAACCAUGGCUUGAAAAUAUUAGUAUCUGUCUUGAUUGUCAAGAGAGCACAUAACCUUUAUUACAGUAAGUACACUACUGAACUGUCCCACUGCAUUAUUGCUGUUAACCUCUUUUUUAAAAAAAAUAUUUUUUUAGUUGUAGUUAGACACAUUAUCUUUAUUUUUUAUGUGGUACUGAGGAUCGAACCCAGGACCUUGCACAUGCUAGGCGAGUGCUCCAUCGCUGAGCCACAACCCCAGCCCAUUAAUCUCUAAUUUUUAAAUUGAACUUUACCACAGGUAAUUAUGUAUAAAAGAAAACAGUGUACACAGAAUUUGAUACCAUCUAGGAUUUCAGGCAUCGAUUGAGGGCCUUGUAACAUAACCCUCUUGAAUAUGGGGGAAUAGUAUCUGGAAAUAUUAGGAUGCAAUACAAUGUGUCCUUGGACAUUUCAUCUAGUAACAGACACAACAUUUCCUAUGAUUACCUUGGCUCUUGAUUUCAGGUGUCGGAGAGUUUAGCUCCCAUCUUGCCCCUUCAGUAUGUCUGUGCACCCGACAGUGAACACACGUUACUGGCAGCCCCUGCGCAGUUUCUCCUGGAGAAGUUCCUUCAGCAUGCUGCAUAUAAACUCUUCCCCAAAGCCAUCCAUAACUUUAAGAGUCCUGUGCUGGCCAUUGACUGCUACCUUAACAUUGGACAGGAGGUAAAGGUGGGGGUGGCUAGUACUGUGCUUACCUACAUCCAUUUCUUUCCCAUUUAAUUUGGUUUGAAAACUUAAAUAGUGACAAAAGGAAGUCUAUAACGUACUCUGCAAAGGCUCACAUAUGAGGUAAUGGCAACUGUCCCUCCUCAUCCCUAUUUCACCUUUACAGAAUGAGCCAGUGACCAAUCAUAGCUUAGCUCAGAUGUCCUAUAAGAAUCCUACCUCAAAAAAAUAAAUAAAUAAAAUAAAAAAGAAUCCUACCUACCUCAAUGACAUUGGGCAGAAGCAAUUUCUAUCUCCCACCUGACUUGACAUUUAUUAGACACUAUUAUAAUUACAUGAAUCCAUUCCAUAAUACUGCAAUGUUCAGAGAAAGUACCUUAAGACCCAUUUGAUAUAAUAAUACUCUUGAUGUUAUCUAUAUAAAUUAUGUGUGUACCCCAGGUCUUCCAAUUCCACUAUCCCAGAGUCCAAAGCACUUAGUAUUAGAUAACCUCAAUACUACUCUUCUACUAACAGCAACUAACAUUUACUGAAUGCUAAGUGGUUUACAUUAAUUUAACUCACAAAUGCCUUAUGAAUCAGGUAACAUUUUUCUCAAUAUAAAUGAAUCUACUCCACAAUACUGUAAUUUACAUGAGUAACACUAAGGUGUAGCAAAAUACAUUUUCCCAGUGCCAUACAGCCACUAAAUAGAGAAGCCAGAAUGUGAACGCAAGCUGACUGGCCCACACAUUAGCCAUUCCACAGUUCUACUCCCAACUACUUUAUAACUUCACAAAAAUCACAGGGAAGUAUACAUUCUGCAUCUGCAAGCUUUAUAGAGCUAAAAUUUUAAAUUCAUGCAGUCUGCACCUCCUGGGGAUUGAACCUAGAUCCUUGUGCAUGCUGGGCAAGUGCUCCACCAUUGACAUACAAAAGCCCUGCCCUCAUGCUGUUUUAAAAUCCUACCCAACUGAAAAUUUUGUCUAGAUGAAAAGCUAAUUAAUUAAAAUUAUUUUUAUUCUCAAGUAACCUAAACAUUCUCUUUCCUAAAUAUACUUUUUAAAAAAUGAAAGAUAGUCCUUUUUAAAAUUUUAUAUUCUUUUUAUGGAGUUUUUCUCCUAAAAUGAAAUUAAUAUUAAAUCUCUGUCACAACAGACCUUUAUUAUGAAAAAUGGGAGACAUUUUAAACAGGUUAAAACUCGGUAUACUAAAAAGGAGAUGAAUAGCAUAAAUAACCACCACUCCUAACACUGAAAAAAAUUCAGCUUCUUUGUCUUACUGAAAAAAAGAGGAAGGCACUAACUCAUUCAACUAAAAUGCAGGUGAUUUGCUUGCUUUUGAAAUCCCCAUGCUAUUUCUGCUUGUUGCUUUCAGGUGGCCAUAUGCUACAUCAGCUCCAGACCCCAUUCCAGCAAUGUCAACUGUGAAGGGGUGUUUUUCAGUGGACUCCUUUUGUACCUCUGUGACUCUUUUGUAGGUGCUGAUCUUCUUAAGAAAUUUAAGUUUUUAAAAGGUAAAUCAAAUUAAGUAUCUUGAAUAUGAAUGUCACUGGUUCCCACUAGGAAAAAAUUCAGGUUUUUUUUUCUUUUUCUUUCUUUAAUGCAUAUUUUAACACUGAUUUUGGCCAAUAAUUUGGAUACUUGGUUAUCUGGUUAUCUUGAUUUUAAACCAGAGCCACUGGGGAAAAAAGAUCAUCAAAUCAUUGUUAUUUAUGACUAAAUGCAGGUGAACAGAGUUGUGACAACAUUAAAUACAGUUUUGCCACUGUUAAUUUUUGGAAGUAAUUUAAGAAUACAUAAUGCUCCUCCUUAAUUAAAUAGUUAAACAACUUAUGUUAAUGAGUCUACCCAUGUUUAUAGUAAUCUGAACAUAACAUUGCUUGGGUCAGACACCAGCUGCAAUAAAUGUGUAUAACUGCAUCCUCUGACAUAAACCCUUAGUUAUGAUUCUGGUACAGAAACUAAAGAUAAUUUUAAUAGGCAAAUUUAACUCUACGAUGCAUACCUAAGAACAAACUGCAGGUUAAGCAUCACAAAUCCUGGCAUGAUGGCUUUUGAGGUCAGUGGAAAAAAAAGGUUCAGAAAACGGUGUGUGGCAUAAGAAUAAAGAAAACUCCACUUAUUUGUGUACAUAUGUAGUUCUAAACUGGGAAGUUGGGAUGUGACUUUCAGAAGACAUUUGAUAUUGUCUGAAGAUAUUUUUUUUUUCGUUGCCACACUGGGAAAUGCUGCUGGCAUAUGGUGGGCAGAAGCCAGGGAUGCUGCUUCACAUUUUAAAAAGCACAGACUAGUCCCCCAAAACAAAGAAUUAUCCAGUCCAAAAGUGCUAUGGUUGAGAAACCCUAUUCUAGAGGACACACAAGACACACAGAUAGCACUGGUUACUACAGUUCAGUGAAUUCUCACUUUACAAUCUCAACUUUUUAAUUUGCAAAUCUACUUAGAAUAAAAACCUGAACAAUCCUGAUAUGCUACUUACCUAUAGAUUUCGUUCUAAGAAGUUUUGGGAAUACAUCAAAGAGAAAUAGUAAGGUUAUUAGUUCAAUCCAAGAGCCUAAGAUACAUUUUUGCCUUUUCCCUGAAGGUGCUACUCUGUGUGUCAUCUGCCAAGAUAGAAGCUCCUUACGCCAAACAAUUGUCCGCUUAGAGCUAGAGGACGAGUGGCAAUUCCGCCUCCGGGAUGAGUUUCAAACUGCCAACAGCAACGAUGACAAGCCUCUUUACUUUCUUACUGGACGUCAUGUAUGAGCUUUGGAAGAGACCAAAAAUUGCAAAGGGAUGCCUAGCUGGGGUGGGACAGAAACAAUUAUUGAGGGAUUUUUUUUUUUCUUUAAAGUACAAUCACUGUGGAGCAAAGUGCAACAUAUUUGUCUAUUCUCCAAAGAACUCCCCAAAUCUAACCAAGUCUUUGGGGACAUCACUCUCCUUCAGUUCUAAUUACAGGACCCUACAUUCAGGCGAACUCCACUGUAGGCAAUUAUGCAAUUACUUAAGAUGUGGUCUGCCUGUGGGAGCCUGAGGAGGAUAGACUUUGGAGAACAAACAUGGAGUUUGCAUUGGUUUUUUUCUACUAUACUGCAUUGGGGGAAAAACUGUCAGCAUUAGCUUGCUUGAAUGUGUUACAUGAGAUACACCAUUGGUGUGGAAAUAAUUGAAGAUUAACAUUUGAGGCCUGAACCCUCAGUUUCUCUUCAGAUCUGUACUUUGGUACAGUAUUACUCAGGGGUCUGAAAUGAUAGAAUGUAGAAGUUAUUUGUAUUUAAAAAAAGUAGUAGUUUUGUCUUUUUCUGUGCAGUGUUAGUUUAAGAUUUAUAAUCUUUUAUGUAUUGAAACUUUUGGCAAAAUUUCCACAGGAGUUAAGAGUUUACUAUUUAAAGUGAACAAACAAAUCAGUAAAUGCAGAGCAGGCAUUGUGUACAUUUAUGAAGAGUCUCCUAGCUUAAUUCCUUUGCUUUUCCCAUUCUUUAAAAGUUUCCAGUCUUAAAGCACACCAUGUCUAAGAGAAUAUGGAAUAGUGAUUAAUCUCGUUUAAGAACCUGAUUAAGCAGUUGGGCCAAUUAAGCAGCUUUUAGGAGUUAACCUGUACCCACCCUGUUUUGAUUGAAAAUAAGCAGCUAGCACUAGGCAAACCUAAAUGUCAAGCUGAGGCUCUGCUGUGGAGUAGAACCAGUCGUGCCCCCCGUUUCGCCCCCCAAACUCAAGCACAGCUUCCUUAAAAAAAAAAAAAAAAACAAUAUUAGCUGCCUUACACGGACAACACAGAAAGUGCUGGAAUGGGAAAUAGAACCAUGGAAAGAGAGAACUAUUUUACUUAAUUAUACCACUGACAUAUUUGUGAGGAGUAAAAAAGAUGCCAGGAGUUUUUGACUCAAAAUCAGUACAUGAUGUCUGACCAAUAUAAACAGUAGGAUUUCUCACCAAAUAUUUUAAUGAAGAGCAGAUUCUAGGAAAUAUUCUAGAAUAGUCUAUUUGAAGUUUAUACUUAUAUUACUCCGGUUCUCAUCAUUAAACAAUCUCUUUGAGAUUUUUUGAUUUGCCCACAUGUAUCACUUUAUCCCCACUUAAAAUGGCCUUUGUUACUUGAAUCUGUCUAGUGACCUGAAACUACUGAGAGGGGCCUACGAAGCCUGCAUUUACUUAGAACAAAUAGUGUUUUAUCUUGUGAUAACAAGGAGUUUACAGCUAGUGGAAAGAUGGAAUGUAUUAGAUUGAAAAUGGCUUGCAGAUCUCUUGGUUUUAAUAUAGCUACUUUUAAUGCUUUAAAUGUAUUUUGAAAUGAACAAUUCCUUUUAAUCCCCUUUUUGUCCUUCAAAGAAGACCUGCCUUAUUAUAUAUGCUUUAAAAACUUAGUAUAGCAGAAUUUUUAGCAAAGAGGUACGUUCUAAAGCAACUUGGUGUAGAUAUGAAUGUAUUUCACUUUUUCCUGUUUUGUUGAAAGGGCCUGAUGCAGAUGAUAUCAAAAAACCCACUGUUUGUGCAAUAUUCCAAUAACAUUUACUAUAGGGCAAAUAAAAUACUUGAAGUAGUUCUAAUUUUACCUGGGGCAGAUGGCCUCUCAGUGUUUGUUCUGGUUUUAUGUAUGAUUUCAUGGUCUCAAGGUUUUUUUAAGUUUCUUUAGAUGCAGGUACUCCAUGUUAGGGCUGCACUCUAAAAAUUCAAAUUAUUAUGAGUUCAGAACUACUACUCAACUCUGUGGAAGAGAAAUGCCAGAAUAAAGUCCAACACAUCAACUCGAUAGUGGAGAAAUUUAAGUUGACCUGCCUAAUUUUUCUUCUUUUUUUUUUUUUUUUGAAAGCCUCUUAAAUCACUUUAUCACUCUUAAUUCUUUAGAGAAUGUUAGGUCAUCUCUAAGGAGAAAAUUGCACAAGCACAGGACACCAUGAUUUGUUAGUGUAUGUGUUCAGUUUAUGCUUUUCCACCCUUUAAAACACUAGUGUGGAGUGAAUGGAUUCACUAGGCCCACACAAUAACUCACCUACACACCUGCUAAAAACUAUGGCAUGUAUGUAUGACACUUCACACAGGUUAAUACUAAAUGUAAACUAAAGAUUAGAAUUGUAGUUGUCAAUUUGGUUUGGCUGUAAUUUAUGCAAAUGCUUUUUGUGACUUUUAGAAAAAGGGGUACCUGUGUUACAUUAUUACUGUAAAAUUUUAACCAAAAUUUGGUGAAUUUCACUAGUCAGUCUACCUCACGUUUUGUUGAUGAUUCAAGUUGUCGUAAGUUGUGUCUACAGUAUGUUCUUGUCCUUUCAUUUAAUUUGGUGAAUGUAUUAAAAUUCUCUCCCACUCCCCACCCCCCAAAAUAGUUUGUUUUCUUUAAACUAAUUUUCUAUUAUGUUAAAAAAAAACAGAAUGUGCUCUCAGACUCUGACAACAUCCAAAAAAGCUUGGAAAUACCAAUAUUAUAGGAUGGAUGACUCAAAGAUUCUUCUAUUCUGGCACAAUAGUCCAAGAAAGUAGCAGAUAAAUAUUUGUUGAAUGAAAAUCUGUAGCUCAAAUACAUACACACACCUAAAGUAUCUAUAGACCCAUUUGUAGAGUUGCACAUAAUUAUAUAUGACAGACCUAGAAAUGAUUAAAGAAUUAGAAAUAUUCACACUACCUCCCCCAUCUUUUAUAGAUGGCAACUACACUCAGUUUGGUGUCCUACUCAGAAACACAGUGUUGGGUUUACUAGAACUGUGUAGUAUGAUACAAGGUACAUACUGUUAACUUCCAAUUUAUUUCUAAACUGCCUAAUUUUAUCAACUCUUGAACCCAUUAUACUCUCUUCUAGGCUAAAGGCCCCUUGUCAUUUACCUCAGGAGAGACAAUAAAUAUUUCUAAGCCUGAUAGCAGACUGACAGGAAACAAACUACCAGUUUUCCUUCUACAGCAUAUUCCCAAGCAGCCACCCUGAAAAGACUAAACACACCCAAGGCCAAAUCUUCACAUUCAACUACCUAGAUAGACCUGGACUAACAUCCUGGGAACAAACAUUUCUCAGGCUUCUCUUCACACAUGAAAACUUAUCCCCGCUUAAGCUUCCUCUGACUCUAGGAGAAUACUGCUAUAACUGAAGCCCUGGCCUCACUGGAAAAGUCAUCACCAAAGAUGAUUUCAGGAACAGUUAGUAAGGUCAAAGAAAAAGCCUUUCACAUAAUAAAUUCACUAUACUCUUAACUAGCAAGUUCUAAACUAAAGCAUCUACUCCAGGGCCUAUGACAACAGAUGGAACAAGUUCUAAGAAAGAAAAGGCAACCAGUAAGUCAUUCUCUGACCACUUCAUUCCAUAAGUAGCUCAUGUAUUUUAUUUUUACUAGGAGGGUGGUAGGGGUGAAGGACUGCCUUAAAACAGAAUUCUUCCCGUUUUCUGUUAGAAGGCUCAAGGGUCAUGAGAAAGAGACAGUUCUGUAGUCACUACCCUAGGAAUCAACUCAGCAAUCUUAACCCUAGGUGAAGUGUGGGUGGUCAGGAAUAUGGCUAUAUUUCCAUCCAAAGGGAUAAGACUCCCUUGCUGAGCAACUCCAAGUAAGUAAGAACAAUUAAAAUACCAUUACAAUGGGGCUG